AUCAAUAUAAAAACUGAGCAAAAUCAAACCUAGUCUAUGCACUUUCAGGACUAACCAAAAUCAAACAUUGAAAAUUGCGUGGAGAAGCGGAAACAUGUCACAAUAACAGGGGCGGAUCCAGCAAAAAGUCUGACUGAGUUCCAGGCAAAGGCUAGGGUCUUUUAGGUAAUGCAUUGAUAAUUGUUCCUAAGACAACAUCAUUAUUCACAUUGAUGCAUUUUGGUACUAUCCACUCACUAAAUCUAGAUUAUAGGUUUUUUUUCCGACAGAAACCAGUGCCUCACUGAAAAUUUCUGCAACCCCCUCCCUUUCUAAAUACCCCUUUGUUUGUCUUAAAUGCCACAGCAACGUUUUCCCUUUUGUUUUACUCGCACUUUGUUGUUUUGCCCACGUAGACACCGGCCUAGGUCUCUCUUGCCAUCAACGACUGCAAUUUAUAAUAAAGGUAGUUAAUGCUGCUGGAAAAUUACCGAUACUUCUUGGUUUUAUCUUAAACGCUUAAUAAUCUGCUAGAAUGUUGCAAGGGUCAUGAAAAUAAGACAUCUGCAGUCGCCAUUUCGAAUUCAAAGUUUUGCAGUUCUACAACAGAUUAGAAACAAUAGGUAGCCAAUCAACUACUGGCUAUUGUACAGCUCUCCUACGAAUAUGGUAUCAUUUCCGAGUUCCAGAUGUUGUUUUGACUGAGUUCCAUCCGUGUUCCAAACAAAAAUUUCAUUGUUUCAAUUCAUUCACUUUCGAGGCACUAAAUGUUUAUUUCCGAAUUCUAGGAUUGACUGCUGUUGUCCUCCACAACGUCUGGAAAAUAGUUUCAAAAUCACGACAGAGAAGAAGGAAGGAAAAGGACGAGCGAAUCACAUUAAACUGGAAUUAUAGCCAUCACAGUGUCUUAAUAUCGACCUCCAGGAUUUUAAGACAAAUUUUAUCAAUUAACGAUAGCAAAUGUGCACAGAUUGGCCUAAGAAGAAAUGUGUUUACAGUAUCUGGCUGCCUUUCACAGUUGAGUUUCACUGGAACAACUGUUAAAAACAAGACAGCUCAAUCAAUAAAUGAAAAGACCGAACGGAACAAUGCAACGAAAUGCGAUGCCGUUCCUGUUUCUUUCGAUCUUCUGCUAUACAAUGACCAAAAAACUUGUCUUUGGCUCAGGUAAGCAUUACUAGCAGGUUUUGAUAGAUUUUAAUAUGAUUAUUGUUAACGUUGUGUGUAUGUGUUUGCAUGUGCUUGGCAUUUUUUGACUGACUUUCAAACAGAAAGUUGGCAGUUUACGUAAGGGACGGCUGACAUUAAUCCCGGCUUUAUAUGCAGCGAGCUAGCCCGGACAGCUGAGCUGAGUGCAUUUGUUUGAAAAAUUGCUAAUUGAUAGCUAAUAGCAAAAAACUUGCAUAAAGAAAGCUAAAGGGAUAUAAGAAACCAAUAUUUGUGAGACUGGUCUCACAUACAAUGUCCUCCGAUGCAGCUCAGUUCUUAUGCAAAUUAAAUAGAAUUUGAAAUUGUUUUUAGGGUACCAGAAUUUAUAUGCUUCAUUCAACUUAUUUACUAACAAUCUCUUUGAGAAUCCUAUCUCUAGGCAAUUCUUAUUUUCUUAGACGAGAUAUUUAUGAAAACAUCUAAUAAAACUCGAAUUUGAAGAUUCGUGGAUCUAUAGACUUUUUUUUUUCGGCUUCAUCAGUUUCGUUGCAAUUGUGUUCACAUAUUGUUUACUUUUACACCUUUUCAAAUUAUAAGAUAAAGGUUAAUUCUCCUUGUCAAUAUUAAGAUUUUUCUAGGUUUUUUUCUCCACUGCCUGAUAGAAAUCGGUCAGCUUUUAGCCGUUGUAUUUCAUAAUUCCAUUCGUCUGAUCAGAUUCAUGAUUUCCUGCUACAUGUGUGAAUUCUUAAAUCUUUCUCUAUCAAUUUUAGU
Non-coding RNA from Rhopilema esculentum, 1899 nucleotides. Lineage: Eukaryota; Metazoa; Cnidaria; Scyphozoa; Rhizostomeae; Rhizostomatidae. The record is from RefSeq and is a predicted model, not a curated record.